Molecule: ribosomal RNA, 301 nt
Filed under: uncultured bacterium
Lineage: Bacteria
Description: partial 16S ribosomal RNA
Rfam family: Bacterial small subunit ribosomal RNA
Source: RNAcentral
CAGUAGCCGCGGUAAUACGUAGGUGGCAAGCGUUGUCCGGAAUUAUUGGGCGUAAAGCGCGCGCAGGCGGAUCGGUCAGUCUGUCUUAAAAGUUCGGGGCUUAACCCCGUGAUGGGAUGGAAACUGCCAAUCUAGAGUAUCGGAGAGGAAAGUGGAAUUCCUAGUGUAGCGGUGAAAUGCGUAGAUAUUAGGAAGAACACCAGUGGCGAAGGCGACUUUCUGGACGAAAACUGACGCUGAGGCGCGAAAGCCAGGGGAGCGAACGGGAUUAGAUACCCCCGUAGUCCCUGUCUCUUAUACA